This 527-nucleotide long non-coding RNA is filed under the name Brachypodium distachyon (stiff brome). RNAcentral's name for it is "long non-coding RNA (BDIS_LNC005292)". Lineage: Eukaryota; Viridiplantae; Streptophyta; Magnoliopsida; Poales; Poaceae. The record is from RNAcentral.
GCUAACUUGGUAUUCUCUGCAUGUUAUUGGUUGGACUACCGGACAUCAUUACAGAACCCUGAAUCUCGAAGGAAGAUGCAGAAUGCUGCUGUGCUGCUGCGAGCAAUGGUGACUAAUGUGCUUGGUAGAUCGCAUGGCUGGGGUUUAAUGAAGCGUUUGGCUGCCGGCUGAUGGUGUGCGGCUUGGUUCUUAGACUGUUUUGGUCCUUGUGUUGAGCACUUUGGUUUGCUCCCUGCGAUGUAUUGGUUGUUUCGAAUUCUUUUUUCCCUGUUGAACCUCUAGAACACUGAACCAUGUUGGUUCCAUUAAUUGGAAUCGGAAGCGUGCUCCUUUUCUCUAAAAAAAAAAAGUACAUACACCAAGACCUAUAAAAUGUUCUCUCCCGAUGUCUCCUAUGCUCACAGCCAUUUAUACCACUUGGUUUUACGGAAUAUGAAAAAACAUGCAUGUAAAUUGUAGCUAUCGGGCCGGAGAUGCCGACCUAUGCUUCAAAGUGUACAUGUUGAUUCGAAUCUAAAGAAUGAUCA